CGAUAGCUCAGUUGGAUAGAGUGACUGGCUACGAACCAGUAGGCCGCGGGUUCGAGUCCCUCUCGGC
This 67-nucleotide transfer RNA is filed under the name bovine gut metagenome. It matches the Rfam family "tRNA", at positions 5 to 66 of the family's 71-position model. From Rfam's summary of the family: Transfer RNA (tRNA) molecules are approximately 80 nucleotides in length. The record is from RNAcentral.